AGUACCAGUUUCUCGUCGCUCCUUUCAAGGUGGAUGGGAAAGCUCGACACAGGAUGGCGUCUGGCGCGCCAUGGAGUAGCAUCAUUGUCCGGAAGGCCUCCAGGUGGUCAACUGGGUCCGAAGUCCCAUCGUAGCUUUCAAAUUGAGGAAGCUUGAAGUUUGGCGGGAUCAGUUCCUGCAUGAUCAUUUGAGAGAAGGGAGGGUCAGUACAAAUUUCCUCACCAUAGACGGGGUGAGCGUGGCGGAGUUCUUCGAUCCGACGGUUCAUCUCCUGGAGUCUUCGAUUCAGAAAAUCCUCUCGACUAUGAGUCUCGAGAUUUUUCUGGCAGAAUGGAGGUAG
RNAcentral lists this long non-coding RNA (340 nucleotides) under Elaeis guineensis (African oil palm). RNAcentral's name for it is "long non-coding RNA (EGUI_LNC068711)". The record is from RNAcentral. Lineage: Eukaryota; Viridiplantae; Streptophyta; Magnoliopsida; Arecales; Arecaceae.